ACCACGCAGGUGGCACAAAAGCUGCUUUGUCUCCUCCAGCACAGCUCUAGUGGAUACCUGUAGCUGAUCCAGCCUGAUAGCUGUAGGUACUCCAGCUCCCACAGGGACCACAGGACAGGGCUGAAAACACCCAUGUCAAGGUCCAGCUUUCCCUUCCUGUGUUCCCCUGCCCCUUCUUUCUCCAAGGAAGGUAACAGAGCUCUGCAGCUGGAGAAGAAAGACGCAUCCCCUGCCCAGAUCCUAAAGCCCCAUCACUUUAAGACCCACCUGAAAGGGCUUCUAUACAGUGUUGUGGCGAGACUCUUUAAACCUCAACUGGAGGAUCUGUUGCACAAUCUUAUCUGAAGAUUUGACGGUGGAACAUUAGGCCGAGGAACAAAAGCUUUGUGCCCAGUACGAAAUGGAGCCACACGCAUACAAAUUACAGCUCUCAAGCUCACGGGGGAACUGCUGGCCUAUCCUGCAGGCAAGCCACACCAGCGACCUCAAUGCCAAACACCAACAACUUUGAUGCCUUGGGAGGUUCAGCGUUUCACAUUGCAAAGCCCAUGCUCGAGCUCUCUCCAACUCUACUUUUAGUUUUGUGUCUUUUCCCUCAAACAAGUGUCUAAUAAAAAAAGCAUACACAGAAAAAAAAGGAUGCUUGGCGCCGACUUUAAGUGACAGAAUUUAUAUCAGUUUAAGAAUUAAGAAAUGGCUUUGGAAAAAUAAAGAGCACCUUCCAAAACUAACAUGACGUGGCCAGAUCUGUAGAGGGAUAUAGGUGACUAAUGCCUGAAUUCAAAUCAAAACCCUGGCUUCCAUAGGAAAUGGGUAUUGGGAACCAGCUUACCAGGUUUAAAUUAGCCGUUGUGGACACCCGCCAUUAAGUCACCCAGGUAGACCUGGGCGUCAGCGACUAACGUACAUCACCCUGGGUGCAGGUUUGUGACUUACAGGAACCACUGCCAAAAUAUGAAUUUGUAGAUAUUUACAAAUUUGGAAAGCACCGCACCUAAUUCAUUCUUUACAUAGCAUAACUACCACCCCUCACUAACUCUGAGGAAUAAAUCCACUGCAACCAAAGGAGUUGGGAGCUGCAGAGGUAGGAAAGAACAGCGCCGCACCGGGGAACUCCUCCUCGGACCUUCAAAAGUCACCAAAGACUGACAGUUCUGCCGUUGGACAUCCCAGCAACAUCAGGGAGAAACAUAUAUUUAUUAAAAGAGAGAUUGAUUUUACUCUGCUAAGAGACACGUGGCUUUAAAAACAGUCAAGUGGGAUUUCUUUGCUAUAGCAAUAAAAUAAAAUAAAUAAAUUGGGCAGCAGCAUUGCAGCACUAUCCAGAGGCUGACAGCGUGAUAAUUUAUAUCUGAUGGAGAUAAAACCAGGAGCCAGAACGGAUUGAAAUUUAUGGAAGGAAAUUCUCGAAACUGCUUAAGCAGUAUAAUAUUCAAUCAGCUGAAUUAUUUCCAGGGCCUGCAUGCCUUUGCCAACACUUAAGGAUAACAGUAAGAAACAGAUACAGCAACUACUGGUCACUGCUUGUCAAAUUCAGACUUUAGCUAAGCAGAGGCAAGACCACAGUUUCAACCUGUAUUCAUAACUGCUUUAAAUGAAGUGCUUUGGUUGAGAAAAUAUGGGAGAUGUCAUAAUCCAUAAAACAGGAAGGAAAAAAAAAAAGCUAUUUUCCUCUAGGUUGACUUCAUUGCAAUAUUCAAACCACAGUGUACAACAAACAGUAAAUACUCAGCUAGCCAGAUAAGCCAAGUUUAUUUUGUGCAAAUUCCAGCACUCUAAUUGUGAUUUACAGAUAGGGAUGCCUCUGGCAGCCUAGCCACUGACUUCAGCAGGCUCUGCCUGAGGCUAAGAACUGGGGGAGAAGAAGUUUUAAAGUAAAACUUAAUGCUUUCACACAAAUAAGAGCAUUUCACACUUGUGCAGCUUUCUCUCUCAUCCAAGUGGAGGGUGCAAAUGUCUAAAAAGAAAUGGCCCGUCACACCUUCCAGCCUAAAGGGAGUUCUGAAGCAUCAGAAAACCCCUUUCCCUUCAUCUGCCCCUCCUGGGCAAGGACCAGCAGGACCUUCUGUGCCCAGGCAGCAGGAGAGGGCAAUAUUUCUUACUAGGCAUCUAUAAUAUCAUAAAUAAAGUAAACAUUAAUUCUUAUCCAUGGGUAAA
Molecule: long non-coding RNA, 2157 nt
Organism: Grus americana (Whooping crane)
Lineage: Eukaryota; Metazoa; Chordata; Aves; Gruiformes; Gruidae
Exons: 3
Source: RefSeq, a predicted model, not a curated record